AAGAGCUGUUGAUCUUCCAAAAGCAAUCUUAAGGGCUUUGAUGGAUCAUUUUGGUUGUAAAUGUUUGUGAACAUUUACAUUAUUUCAUUCUUGAUAUUUAAUAUUAGAUUAAUUGAUGAGUUAUAAUUGUUAUUGAAUUAGGAGGAAUUAGAUGCUUUGUUUUCAUAGAAAAUGGUUUGUAGAACAGCAACUGUCAGAAGUGUUUUACACUAGAAAUAACUACACUAGAUCUUAUCCACUACAACAGCAGAAUUACUGAGCUUCCAUUUUCAGUGUCUGCCUGCUGAACACCUACAGAAGUGAAAUAUUCAACUCAACAGCUGAUGUGUGGAUAGACAGAAGCAUCAAAGAUCCUUUGUGCUGCUAUGAAUUUGGUCUGUGCUGGAUGUCUGCAUAAUGUGCUGGGAGAUCUUUGUGGUCAUGAGGAUGACUAGCAACAAGCAGGACUAGUCUGCAGCAAUUGGGGGCCCCUAUUCCUUGACAAGUAACAUUUUGUGUGAGGGGAGGCUCUGCCCACAUAUUAAGCAACAAACAGAUCAGAGUGUGAGCUGAAUCAAAGUCUUGCUUUUGAAUUUAAUGUUUAAGAACUAAUGUUUUCAUCAACUGACUGGACUUGUUUGUGCAGAUUUUCUAUUUGUAGUAUUGUGAAAAUAUUUUUAUUUGCAAUGGUAUUUCCAUUGGGAGAUGCCUUUGUCUUCAGAGUAACUUCCCUGAGAGCGGUUUCAAAAGUUAAUCUGUGGAGAAUACUGCAUCUUGUUUUGCAGUAUUCAGAUGCCCCUUUAGAAAGUAAAGAUGUUAUUCUUUUUUGGGUACUAUUAUCACCCUCAGUUGCCACCUCCUUAUUGUCUGAAAUGUGGGCAGAGCUCAAAGGUUUGGGGAAGUUGUCAUGGACUUCACUUUAAUUUAGUAAUCAAAUGAGAAAACUCUAGAUAAGACAUGAUAUGGCAACAUCACAGAAGCUGCUCUGUGGCAGGGUGGAGAAUAGCUACUGGCAAAGGAGGAAGAAAAAGGACAAUUUUUUUAGAGAAUGAGGCAAGGAAAAGUUUGCUUGAACAGCUGGGGUUGUUGAGCAUCAAGAUGACGGAAGGAUGUUAUGGAGGCAGAAGCAGGCGGAGGAGAGACAAAGCCAAAUCCUCAGCUAACAUUGCUGGGUAUUUUUAGGAGUGCUUCCUGAGAGUGCUUUCUGUAUAUAAACAGUCGAGGUUCCAGGAGGCAGUGGUGAGGGGGAGCAGUGUAACUCAAUGAUACUUGUACUGCAAAUAGUACCUUGCAAAGAGCAAACUGUUUGACUUUAUUAAACUGCAGCCUCCUGCAACAGAUCAAGGGUCUAGUUUCUAAGCAAAAUAAUUGUAGCCUAAAGAAAACUUAAAUGUUGAAAGUCCCAUAGGCCCUAGAUUCCUGUUUGACUUGGCUUCAGGAGCUGCACAUACCGUUUGAACCUUAGGCUACGAAGUAAAUUUGCAAAGCACAAGCUGUUUUGAAGCCCCUUUCCACAGUAACACAUAGCCUUGUUAUCAGAAAAAUACAGGAAAAAGACAAUGGGAGGAGGAUCAAGUCUGACAAGUGGGCUUGACAGUGCUUUGCAGUUCUGGCGGGGCUGGCAGGAGCUGGGCAGAUCUGGUCUAGGCAUCAGGGCAAUGCAGGAGACUGUCGCCUGGGCUUGCUGAGCAGUGCCAAGGUUAAAGUGGAAUUGGAGCCAUGGGCUAACUUGGAACAGGGCAGUGUAAUGCAGAACUGGGGUCUGCCUGACACUGCUUCCCUCCACCCUUGUUUACAGCUGUGGGGGAUUAUUUAGGGUGCUGUACGCAAAGAGCGGUCCUGUGUGUGCUGGAAGCCAAAGCUAUGGAUGAAGAUGUUCCCAUAGGAGAGCCAUCCUUGCUGCAGCAGCCCCAAAGCUACCUGUGCAUGGAGGAAUGGAUCAAUGCACCUGCGAGAAAAAGGCUGACACUCUUAGCUGUUGCCAAUACACAUGACACUGUGGCCCAGCAACUCAGCGUUAGUAGAGUAACAAGUGAUUAGAAGCAGAUAUGAACUUCUGACUACCAAAUGGACAGCCUCCCAUUAAGGCAGCUGAAGAAAAUGUCUUUUUAGCAUGGAAAUUUCUGAACAGCUCUUCACUGGAAAUCUUCACAAGUUUGAAACAAGAAGAGUCUCUUCUAUCAGCAAAGAUCUUUAGAAGGUGUCUCAGCAAAAACCUGGACAAGCCCCAAGUAUUGACCUUGGUCCUAAUCUGCAUGGUUCUCUAAUCACUUGUU
Long non-coding RNA from Passer domesticus (house sparrow), 2255 nucleotides. RefSeq lists it as uncharacterized. NCBI's taxonomy places the organism in Eukaryota, Metazoa, Chordata, Aves, Passeriformes, Passeridae. The transcript is spliced from 3 exons. The record is from RefSeq and is a predicted model, not a curated record.